GUUGAAAUGUUACUAUAGUUACGCUUGAUUUUAUUGAGCACUAUGUACUGUAUGAUAAACACAAAUGUAAUAUAUACUUCACUGUAUCUCUCAUAAUUUCGCGCAUUUGAAAGAUUUUUAAUACAAGCGCGCAAAUGUAAUUACAAUCAAACUGACUAACAGUGGUGACUUCCCUUUAAUAAUUUUACACCAUUUGCUGUCAACGAAGGUGUUGUCAUCAGUUGUUGAAAAUAUGAAAUAUUCAUGUUGGUUUUACUAGUUCUACGGUAGAUGUGUAUGCAAUUCCACAUCUGAGCACUGUAAGGUCUGGCAGCAAAAUAAAGAUAUAUUCAAAUGGAUCUUGUGCUGUGUCUCACAUCUGACAUCAUACUAGAAAAGGGUCAUGUAAACGUAACAAAAAGUCAUGCGAAUGGACAUCAAAAUGUUGACACAGAUCGGUAUUUGAGACUUAAAUCUUCAGGAUAUAACUUCAUAAAACUGGCGGAUAAAUCAAACUGCGAAGGUUCUUUCGAAUGGCGAGUAAAACAGUUGUGUCUCUUCGUAGGAACGAUGAUACAAUAUUUACGUAUGCACUCAAAUGAUGCUGUUCGAGGUAACAAGAAGAAGUUAACAUUUGGCAGUGUGAGAAAGGAAAUUUACUUCUGCAUGACGGGAAAAUGAUGUUUGCAUGCAUAUUUUAUCGGAGGCAGCUGCAAAACCACCAACAGGAAACUCUUUUUGAUAUUAUGUUGUGAUAGACUGUUUGACGGUUUUCGGCCCGCUUUGGCGAGACGGUAUUACGAUAGUUUUAUACGAAAAUCUGCGAUAAAGUCCGGAAAUCUCGCUUGUGGAGAGAAGAAACUCGAUUAUGAUGUUCCCGCGAAGGAAAAAAAUCUUGCGUCGAACCAGAAGUUGUGUGAAUAUUUUUUCUUGAGGAAUGUUGUCAGUGCAGUAUACAAAUUGAAAGAAUGACUUAUUUUCCGUGACAAGUUCUGUUUCUUUUUACGACGAAAAUGCUACCAACAUAUCAAGGAUAUCUGUUAUAUAAUUUGAGCCAAAAAGAAUGCAUCACACGAAAGGAAUGUAUUUCUACAGAGCCAAAACUGCGAACUAUUAGAAUCCGUUAUUUUCUGUCAUUUUUUUUCGCGCCAUUUUCCUAUUUGUUGAUGUCUGUAUACCUACUGAAUUGCAAUUUUGCACUUUUGAAACAAAUAUUUUUAAAAUGCAGAAUUUAAUUGAAUCCUGAUUUUUCAAAACGAAGGACAUUCAGCUAUUAAAAUGAUAAGAUCUCGUAUGCUUGAUUUAUUGUAAGACCGAUUCAGCCUUAAUUUGUUCGAAAAUUGAAGUAGAUUGACAGUUUUCAUACUUCAACAGUGUUUCUGUUAUGUAAUGACGGACAGUUAACCAAACCAGUGUUCAUUUAUUUUGUACCUGUACAAACUUGUUCUCCGCAAGUAACUGCCAACUUCCCCACAUGAAUCAGAGGUGGAGGACAAUGAUUUCAGGUACA
Molecule: long non-coding RNA, 1489 nt
Organism: Mercenaria mercenaria
Lineage: Eukaryota; Metazoa; Mollusca; Bivalvia; Venerida; Veneridae
Exons: 3
Source: RefSeq, a predicted model, not a curated record